GCCGGUGUGGCUCAGUGGAUAGAGUGUUGGCCUACGGACCAAAGGGUCCUGGGUUCGAUCCCAGUCAAGGGCA
Molecule: non-coding RNA, 73 nt
Organism: Myotis lucifugus (little brown bat)
Lineage: Eukaryota; Metazoa; Chordata; Mammalia; Chiroptera; Vespertilionidae
Source: Rfam